AUGGCGACCGCUCUCCCAACCUCCGCUGCCGCCGCCACCGCCGCUGUUCGGAUCUUCCAACCGACCCGAUUCCGCCUCCCUGGAACCUCUCCCGUGCCUGCCCGCAAGCGUUCCGCUAGUCGCCGCCUCUCUGGCAUCACCUGCUCUCCCGGGAUUGCCAGCGUCGCCGGCGAAGCCACGUCCCCGGAGGACGCCGUCCGCAUCGUGGCCGUCGUCGGCGACGGAAGCAUCAGCCCGCUCAAGGAUACGCCCUGGGACGAGGUUAUGCGCCAUACGGCUGAUAGGUUGAAGUGGGUUGAUGAAGGAUUUGAAAUGCUUGUAUUCACUGACAAGUUGAUUGACCAUGAUGAUCUUAAGAAAGAGUUGUCUCGCUGUGAUAUGCUAGUCAAUGUUGCAAUAACUGGCCAGGAGUCUGUUCAGUGGCUUAUACAUAACAGUAAGAACAUUCCAAAUGUACUUUGUUUUCAGUCACCUCCGUCCUUAGUAAACAAGCUAGGAGGCACAUCUGUUCAAUACACUGGAGAGCAGGACUUCUUUGGCAAGCUAAUCAAUGUUGGAAAACCAAGUGGAACAGAGGAAUCAGCUGAAGUCCUCAAGACGAUAUCCAAUGCCUGGGAAAGGCACAACUCAGAUGACAUUAGGUUUUGCUUACUUGUUGUGGUUAAUGCAUACAUAAGACCGGUGGCUAUGCUGAAAAACCUUAGGGCAAAAGGUCUCUCUACCCUAGGCUGUAUGAUAACAAACUGUGGUCCUCAAAUACUGAAUUGUUUGUUUGAUCCUGACUGUAGGAAAGCCAUUCAGUGUCUGAAUUCUUGCUCUCCAACCGACCAGGUCUGCAACUAUCGCUGCAUUGCAUCGUACGAGAGUCCGCAUCUAGAGGCCUUUUCCCUCUGUGUUUUGCAAAAGCACAACUGCCUUGAGCUCAAUGCUGAGAUCCCUAGUAAGCCCUCUGUAACCCCACUAUCAAUGUUCAGAGAACAAAAGCUUAGCCAUGAAGUUGCAGAAGACCUGUUUGUCGGUUGGCUGGACGGCUUGGAGUGGAGCUGGAGAGUUGUAGCUGGACAGAAUCCAGCAUAUGACCAAUUCCCGUGCCAGUACCAAUUAUUCUACAGAGGGAAAGCUAAAGGUUCAUUUUGGUAUGAGCCAAUUUUUCAAGUCAGAACCCUGGAAGGGAAGCUGGUUUGGAGGCGUAGAAAGUACAGAGUGAGAAGAGCUAGCACCCCUGGUACAUUUUAUUUCAGUGUGCUGGAUAAUGGUGUGGUUUCGAAAGAGUUUUGGACAGUUGUUGAUGCUGCGGAUGAUUUCAGCUGGGGCCUGUUCCAUUACCAUGGAGCUGCUCAGGCUGCUGGACAAUCAUACACUGGAGCAGUGCUUGUUACCCCUGAUGGGUCUUAUCCUGGCGGGGACAACCCAAGAUUGGACUCUGCUUUGGAGAAAUGUGGUAUCAAGAAAUGGGAGCUGUAUAUGGUUGACAACUGCUCCUGCACGGGUGCGCCUUUGGGAACUCCCGUAGGUUCACGGCUGCAUUACCAGAUCGCUCCAGGAAAAGAAGCCGGUAUUAUGCAGAGAAUAUGA
Molecule: ribosomal RNA, 1575 nt
Filed under: Triticum aestivum (bread wheat)
Lineage: Eukaryota; Viridiplantae; Streptophyta; Magnoliopsida; Poales; Poaceae
Description: partial small subunit ribosomal RNA
Source: RNAcentral